GGCGACGUAGGCAAGUGGUAAGCCAGAGGUUUGCAAAACCUCCAUUCACCGGUUCGAAUCCGGUCGUCGCCUCCA
RNAcentral lists this transfer RNA (75 nucleotides) under Deltaproteobacteria bacterium. Its description in RNAcentral is "tRNA-Cys". It matches the Rfam family "tRNA". Rfam says of the family: Transfer RNA (tRNA) molecules are approximately 80 nucleotides in length. Lineage: Bacteria; Pseudomonadati; Myxococcota; Myxococcia. The record is from RNAcentral. RNAcentral also lists the same sequence under 1 other name.